CACAAUGGAGUUCAUCACCAAGUG
This 24-nucleotide non-coding RNA is filed under the name Arabidopsis thaliana (thale cress). Lineage: Eukaryota; Viridiplantae; Streptophyta; Magnoliopsida; Brassicales; Brassicaceae. The record is from RNAcentral.